Long non-coding RNA from Pseudopipra pipra, 769 nucleotides. RefSeq lists it as uncharacterized. The transcript is spliced from 3 exons. Lineage: Eukaryota; Metazoa; Chordata; Aves; Passeriformes; Pipridae. The record is from RefSeq and is a predicted model, not a curated record.
GUGAAACCACAAACAAGUAAGACUGAUGCUUGUACAUUACUAAUGUACUUAGUAGACUCUUGUAUAAAUACAACAAAUUGAGGAAUAGUCAACAUGAUUUCUAGACUGGAUAGCUCUGGGUCAUAAUCCUGCGGAAGUUCUCCUGCUCACAGAAGGAUCAGCUGUGAGGUCAGACCCCAGAAUUCAGUCAGGGAGUACACGGACAAGGUAGGGUCAUUUGAUACAAUCUUUGAGUUUAUAAAAGUACUCAGCAAGUUCAUUCAUCAGUUAUCUAAGGAAACAGCCAUCAGUUAUCUAAGGAAAGAUCUUGCAGGAUAAGUAAUUACUUAAGAGAUUGAUAAGGAUAGUAGGAGCAGAUGAUCAAUUUUUAUAAAAGGGUGUUUACAGAUAUCUGUGCUACAACCAAGAGUUCAGUUUAAGCCAGAUGCAGCCAUCAGGACCAGCAGCUGUUGCUUAAGCAGAAAGCAGGGCAGGGGAGCACAGCACCACACCUUCUCAUCUCUUUAUGUGCAGCAAGAAUUGGUAUCUUGUAGGGUCAAUGGUGUCUGAAGAGGAAGCGGAUGAGAGGAGAGCAAGAAUGCAUGAGAAAGUAUCUGGAGGAAAGGAUCCAAAUGGAAGGAGUCAGAAGUUACAAAAGGUGAACAUGUCAAGAGCAAGAUCAGCAAAAGUUUUGGCAGUGGAAAGCUGACUGCACUAAAGGAAGACUUUUUGUCCCAGCUACUUUUAUAUAAUAGAUCAAUAAAGCCAAGCUCUUUUGCUCUGCCUCAAA